Molecule: unclassified non-coding RNA, 237 nt
Filed under: Curvularia hawaiiensis
Lineage: Eukaryota; Fungi; Ascomycota; Dothideomycetes; Pleosporales; Pleosporaceae
Also listed under: 4 other names
Description: partial internal transcribed spacer region
Rfam family: Eukaryotic small subunit ribosomal RNA (bases 1-46)
Source: RNAcentral
AAGUCGUAACAAGGUCUCCGUAGGUGAACCUGCGGAGGGAUCAUUACACAAUAAAAUACGAAGGCCGUUCGCGGCUGGACUAUUUAUUACCCUUGUCUUUUGCGCACUUGUUGUUUCCUGGGCGGGUUCGCUCGCCACCAGGACCACAAUAUAAACCUUUUUUAUGCAGUUGCAAUCAGCGUCAGUAUAACAAAUGUAAAUCAUUUACAACUUUCAACAACGGAUCUCUUGGUUCUG